UUAUCAGCUUGGGAUAAUCUUUACCUGUUCCUUCUUUUGGAGGGCCAAAUUAAGGACAUGAUUGGCGGUCUCACAUCAGUAUGCGAUUAACGUCUCUGAGUAGAUCAGGAACUUCCAGUACCCUAUUGUGCUAUCUGAU
RNAcentral lists this small nucleolar RNA (139 nucleotides) under Pan troglodytes (chimpanzee). RNAcentral describes it as "U8 small nucleolar RNA". It matches the Rfam family "U8 small nucleolar RNA". Rfam says of the family: U8 is a member of the C/D class of snoRNA which contain the C (UGAUGA) and D (CUGA) box motifs. U8 is the RNA component of a small complex (the U8 snoRNP) which is required for accumulation of mature large subunit ribosomal RNAs, 5.8S and 28S rRNAs. Lineage: Eukaryota; Metazoa; Chordata; Mammalia; Primates; Hominidae. The record is from Rfam by way of RNAcentral.